This 130-nucleotide small nucleolar RNA is filed under the name Mus spicilegus (steppe mouse). RNAcentral describes it as "Small nucleolar RNA SNORA17 (ENSMSIG00000020164.1)". It matches the Rfam family "Small nucleolar RNA SNORA17". Rfam says of the family: snoRNA ACA 17 belongs to the H/ACA family of snoRNAs and is predicted to guide pseudouridylation of the 28S rRNA at positions U4659 and U4598. It shares the same host gene together with ACA43. Lineage: Eukaryota; Metazoa; Chordata; Mammalia; Rodentia; Muridae. The record is from Rfam by way of RNAcentral.
CCUGCCCCAGAGGUGUUGCAGGCAUGGCUGCUGCUUCACAUUCGGUCAGUAGGUGGCAGAGAGGAGAGAGGCUGUGUCUAUGCUCAGUGUUCUGACCUAGGAAUACCUGAAUGAUUAGUAGCCUAACAUU